GAAAGGUAGCGAAGUGGUCGUAACGCGCUCGACUCGAAAUCGAGUUAUCGGCGAUGAACCGGUACGUGGGUUCGAAUCCCACCCUUUCC
RNAcentral lists this transfer RNA (89 nucleotides) under uncultured Desulfovibrio sp. It matches the Rfam family "tRNA". Rfam says of the family: Transfer RNA (tRNA) molecules are approximately 80 nucleotides in length. Lineage: Bacteria; Pseudomonadati; Thermodesulfobacteriota; Desulfovibrionia; Desulfovibrionales; Desulfovibrionaceae. The record is from RNAcentral.